CCUACGGGAGGCAGCAGUGAGGAAUAUUGGUCAAUGGGCGGGAGCCUGAACCAGCCAAGUCGCGUGAGGGAUGACGGCCCUAUGGGUUGUAAACCUCUUUUGCCGGGGAGCAAAGUGCCGCACGUGUGCGGCUUGGAGAGUACCCGGAGAAAAAGCAUCGGCUUACCCCCGGCCCGCCGCCGCGGUUAUACGGAGGAUGCGAGCGUUAUCCGGAUUUAUUGGGUUUAAAGGGUGCGUAGGCGGACGCUUAAGUCAGCGGUAAAAUUGCGGGGCGCAACCUCGUCGAGCCGUUGAAACGGGGGGCCGUGAGUGGGCGAGAAGUACGCGGAAUGCGUGGUGUAGCGGUGAAAUGCAUAGAUAUCACGCAGAACUCCGAUUGCGAAGGCAGCGUACCGGCGCCCAACUGACGCUGAAGCACGAAGGCGUGGGGAUCUAACAGGAUUAGAUACCCGGGUAGUC
RNAcentral lists this ribosomal RNA (459 nucleotides) under uncultured bacterium. RNAcentral's name for it is "partial 16S ribosomal RNA". It matches the Rfam family "Bacterial small subunit ribosomal RNA", at positions 338 to 795 of the family's 1533-position model. The record is from RNAcentral.